CUGGGCAGUGGGGAGUGGUGAGCUCCAUUGUAUACACUUGGAAGCAGCCCAGAAAGGUGAAGACCUGUUCGUGAACUCCAGAGGCCAUUGGAAGCGUGGAAGGCUAUGGCUGGCACUCUUCCUCUUUUUCCAGUUCACUGAGGCAGAUGGGAGGACCGGAGGAGAAAGAAUGAAGGAUGGCAUUUCAGCCCGAGUAAACUCCCCAGGCCCGCUCUGUGCCAGGCGGUGUUGCAAGCCUCGGCUUCUAGCACAGUGCUUUGUGCACAGUAAACACUCCAGCGGCUGUUGACCAAUGAAUGAAUGAAGAUUGUAGGCUCAAAUAUUCAAGUUAUCAAAGUGCAAAGAAUGAGGGGUUGUUUGCACUGGACUUCAAAAAUAAAUAGCCUGGACCUGUACUGUCUUACACAACAGCUAUGAGCUACUGGUAUGUGGCUAGUCCAAACUGAAAUGCCCUUUAAGAGUAAAACACACACUGGAUUUCAAAGACUUAGUACAAAGAAAAAAUGCAAAAUAGCUCAUUAGUAAUUUUUAUGUUAAUGACAUGUUGAAAUAACAUUUUGAUAUAUUGAGUUAAGUAAAAUAUAGUAUUAGAAUUAA
This 597-nucleotide non-coding RNA is filed under the name Pan troglodytes (chimpanzee). Lineage: Eukaryota; Metazoa; Chordata; Mammalia; Primates; Hominidae. The record is from RNAcentral.